Molecule: ribosomal RNA, 481 nt
Filed under: uncultured bacterium
Lineage: Bacteria
Description: partial 16S ribosomal RNA
Rfam family: Bacterial small subunit ribosomal RNA
Source: RNAcentral
GAUGAACGCUGGCGGCGUGCUUAACACAUGCAAGUCGAACGAAGCACUUUAUUUGAUUUCCUUCGGGACUGAUUAUUUUGUGACUGAGUGGUGGACGGGUGAGUAACGCGUGGGUAACCUGCCUUGUACAGGGGGAUAACAGUUGGAAACGGCUGCUAAUACCGCAUAAGCGCACGGCAUCGCAUGAUGCAGUGUGAAAAACUCCGGUGGUAUAAGAUGGACCCGCGUUGGAUUAGCUAGUUGGUGAGGUAACGGCCCACCAAGGCGACGAUCCAUAGCCGACCUGAGAGGGUGACCGGCCACAUUGGGACUGAGACACGGCCCAAACUCCUACGGGAGGCAGCAGUGGGGAAUAUUGCACAAUGGGCGAAAGCCUGAUGCAGCGACGCCGCGUGAGCGAAGAAGUAUUUCGGUAUGUAAAGCUCUAUCAGCAGGGAAGAUAAUGACGGUACCUGACGAAGAAGCACCGGCUAAAUACGUG